Molecule: long non-coding RNA, 3106 nt
Organism: Musa acuminata AAA Group (dessert banana)
Lineage: Eukaryota; Viridiplantae; Streptophyta; Magnoliopsida; Zingiberales; Musaceae
Exons: 3
Source: RefSeq, a predicted model, not a curated record
CGGACCGACGCGGAGAAACGAAAGAAGUGGAGGGUGCGGACCCUUUUGCGAGCGGCGGAGAAAAUAUCCGGGUAUGUAAGAAAGGAUUUUAUUUUUUCUUGAGGUGUUUGGGUUUGGAAACUGUCGCUUGCUGUUCCUGACACGGAAACUUCUGGGACUGGGGGCUGAGAGGGAGGACGACGAUGCCGAUAGGUAGAUCGUAGAAAGGAGCUGUCUUGCUUAGUUACUGCUGCUCUCUUUCUCGAUCUUUUUUUGGGUUCUGGCGGGAAAGCGGUAUGAGGUGGGCGGCGAGGCCGGACACGCCGGAGGUGGUGAGGGUGAGCGAAGCCUUGCCCGAGUCCAGCUUCCGCGUGCUCGACUAUGUCUUCUCGCAGGUGGAGUAGUUUUGGAGAAGAAGUUUGGAAUUCUGAUAUUGAAUGUUGCGGUAGAUGUUCUUCAUGUGCAAAAUCUCUAUAUGAAGCAGAGUUUCAAAUUGGAGGAAAGGAAAACCAAUCUUUUGUGUAUCCAAUCCUGGGACAUUGCUCGCCAAAAUCUUCAACUUUGUUACUCUUGUUGGUGGUCCCUUUAAAAGGUGCAGCAGCAUAAAAGACCAAUAUGAUAAUGUGGAAUUUGAGUGCAUAACUCAGCAUGAAGAAAACCUAAAUGGUAGUGCUGUGUUAGUGUAUAAAUUUCAUGAUGGAGAGUCCAGAUCGAAAAAUAUGACAUGGCGCCUGCAUGAAAAAGAUGGCAAUGUAUCUCUUCUAGCAUAUAAUAAUUUUGAAGGGACAGAAAAAACAGUUUUCAUGACAACUUGAAUACGAAUGCUGCCAGUUCUGAUAAUGAAUAUGCAUUGCCAGAUUAUUCUAUUGAAGCUGAAUGGGUUUCUUGAGAUUUGACCUACCAAAACAUUCAUGAUGCUGAUAUGGUUCUUCUUGAUUCAGAGCUACCGGGUGCCUUAUUGAGCUUGCUCACCAGAAGUGAAGAUUCACUAUGGAAAGGUGGUAAAUAUAAACAUGAAAUUAUAACUUUUGGUCAGGCUUUAGAUUCUGGAGAAUCGUCUAUACCUACUUUGGAAGUUGUCUUGGAUGAAGCAGCAGACAUCCGAAGUGUUGAUUAACCUCAUCAUGACAAUAUCAGUGCUGAAAAUUUCUUGUUCCCAGCUGUUAAUUCAUCCAAAGAUAACACAAAGUUGAGUCUCAUAUCAGAGAUAACUUCAGAUGAACAUGGCACAAACAAAAAUUGGGAAAAUGGGGAUAUUUCCCAGAAUUACAGUUUGUGUACUGAAUUUAAAGAUGUAGGUUCAGCUUUUAGAACUAGUGAAUGGAUUCUACCAAGGCAGUUUGUUGAGCUUGAUGAUACUCAGAUAACAGUCUCUGAGGGUCAAGAUUUUACAGGAAUAUUAUAUACUUUCUUGAUGACUACAUGCUCUGCACCUUGUUAUAAAAUUUUAGAGGCAGAAAGAACAAUGCUUUUGGGCACAGCAAUGCCGGAAAAGGCAUAUGUUUAUAAUGAUGAUCUACCAAGGGAUACAAACCAGCAACUUAAUGAUUUAGAAGUGCGUAGAGAUGAAGAUGCCGUAAUUGAUAGUGUAUCAACUGUAAAUUGAGCUUGUACCAACUUGAUCAGUGCUUGGAGUGAAUUAAGACCAGACAACCCUGUCACAGAAAAUGAACCUGAGAUGGCAAUGGACAUGGAUGGACAAAGUAAUAGUUUAUAUCAUGAUCCACAAGAAGCAAACAGAGAUUUAAUGGUUGAAGUUGGAUCAAACCUCUUCAGGAAAAAGAUUGGACAAAAUAGAUCCAACCAUCAUAAGGAGCACGAGAAUACCUUCGAAUCUUUCAGAGAAAGCAGUUCAGAUUUGAUUGGAUUGGAUACUAAUUAUGAGCAUUCAAUGUCUGCUUCUACCACAGAUGAUUCAUGCUUGUCAACCGAUUGUGACUAUACAGUGAACAAACUCUUCUUAUGGAAGAAAAAAAUAAUGAACAUUUACAUUCAUCAGUAACCACUGCAGUGUUUUCUGUUCACGACUCUAGUCCUGUGUGCCUGCAGCAUUCAGAUAAAAUUGUUCCAAACAAUGCAUACAAGACCUCCCCACAAAUGAUGAACAAUAUUGGAGGGAGAAAUAUCAAUAAUAACCUUGAUCAGAAAUCAAAAUGAGAUUUGUUGGUUGGUGACUGGAGGAGUUGAAGUGACUAAGAACUUUCAAGUACCCUGCAGCUGUUUCUCAAAAGAUGUUCCUUGUAUGGAAUAUAUGGGCUACAUCACCUGAACCCUUUGUACUUCUGAACCAGCUGAUUGUUCUGCUACUGUUCAUACUGGUGCUCCAGCAAACUUUUAGCGAUGACCACACUAGGACUCAAGCAAGUUCGCCGUGCUCAAAUCCUGGAAUUCUAGCUGAAGAGAAAGGUGAUGUCUAUGUUGAGACAAACUUGCAGGUUAGGUAUCAAGCUCAUCGUCUCAUGCAUGAUGUUAGCAUGAGUAUAAACCACACAGUUCCAGAUUCUACUGAAGAAAGAGACGAGGUGAAGCUGUGGUAAAAGCAAUGAGGGAACUGUAGCUGCAACAAGAAACCCGAGAAAGAAGGUGCACAAGUCGAUCUCUGGUAGCGUCACAUUGAUCGGUGCACUGCUUGUUCUCCUUCAUCUGAGGAGAAACAGAGAGAAAGAGAAAGUUUGCUGCACAAUUGUUUCUCUACAAAAUAAAGAAACAUGUCAAGAACUUUACACACAAGACAAGAUGGAGAUCGGAAGAAGCUUAAGCUUUAAGGCCAGAAUAGACUCCACUUGAAGCAGGAGUUGGUCUUCAACGUCUUGCUGUAAAUUAGAAAUAACAUGGAGAAUGAAAUAGCUGCACAUCUAAUAGAAUCUACAUUGUCUGAUGACCAUAUUUCAAGUGCUCCAACAAGUUUUUGAGACACCACUUGCACUGUGUUUGAUAAUCCACAACGUCGCCAUGGAAAGCUGCUGUGUUUGACAAUCUACAAGUUAUUGGUCAUUUUUUCAAUUGAUAGGUUUCUCUGUAGUGACAAACUUGAUGAUAUCAAUUACCAGAACUAUUAUUUUGACUACCACCAACAAUGUUCCGGAUUGCAUUGAAAGAUAUCAAAGAUUGGCUGGAAUUCUCAUCA